RNAcentral lists this ribosomal RNA (484 nucleotides) under uncultured bacterium. RNAcentral describes it as "partial 16S ribosomal RNA". It matches the Rfam family "Bacterial small subunit ribosomal RNA", at positions 30 to 507 of the family's 1533-position model. The record is from RNAcentral.
AUUGAACGCUGGCGGCAGGCCUAACACAUGCAAGUCGAGCGGAUGAAGGGAGCUUGCUCCUGGAUUCAGCGGCGGACGGGUGAGUAAUGCCUAGGAAUCUGCCUGGUAGUGGGGGAUAACGUCCGGAAACGGGCGCUAAUACCGCGUACGUCCUGAGGGAGAAAGUGGGGGAUCUUCGGACCUCACGCUAUCAGAUGAGCCUAGGUCGGAUUAGCUAGUUGGUGGGGUAAAGGCCUACCAAGGCGACGAUCCGUAACUGGUCUGAGAGGAUGAUCAGUCACACUGGAACUGAGACACGGUCCAGACUCCUACGGGAGGCAGCAGUGGGGAAUAUUGGACAAUGGGCGAAAGCCUGAUCCAGCCAUGCCGCGUGUGUGAAGAAGGUCUUCAGAUUGUAAAGCACUUUAAGUUGGGAGGAAGGGCAGUAAGUUAAUACCUUGCUGUUUUGACGUUACCAACAGAAUAAGCACCGGCUAACUUCGUG